CAUAGCAUAUCAGAAGGCACACCCGGAGAACUGAAACAUCUUAGUACCCGGAGGAAGAGAAAGAAAAUUCGAUUCCCUUAGUAGCGGCGAGCGAAACGGGAAGAGCCCAAACCAACAAGCUUGCUUGUUGGGGUUGUAGGACACUCUAUACGGAGUUACAAAGGACGACAUUAGACGAAUCAUCUGGAAAGAUGAAUCAAAGAAGGUAAUAAUCCUGUAGUCGAAAAUGUUGUCUCUCUUGAGUGGAUCCUGAGUACGACGGAGCACGUGAAAUUCCGUCGGAAUCUGGGAGGACCAUCUCCUAAGGCUAAAUACUCUCUAGUGACCGAUAGUGAACCAGUACCGUGAGGGAAAGGUGAAAAGCACCCCGGAAGGGGAGUGAAAUAGAACCUGAAACCGUGUGCUUACAAGUAGUCAGAGCCCGUUAAUGGGUGAUGGCGUGCCUUUUGUAGAAUGAACCGGCGAGUUACGAUUUGAUGCAAGGUUAAGCAGUAAAUGUGGAGCCGUAGCGAAAGCGAGUCUGAAUAGGGCGUUUAGUAUUUGGUCGUAGACCCGAAACCAGGUGAUCUACCCUUGGUCAGGUUGAAGUUCAGGUAACACUGAAUGGAGGACCGAACCGACUUACGUUGAAAAGUGAGCGGAUGAACUGAGGGUAGCGGAGAAAUUCCAAUCGAACCUGGAGAUAGCUGGUUCUCUCCGAAAUAGCUUUAGGGCUAGCCUCAAGUGAUGAUUAUUGGAGGUAGAGCACUGUUUGGACGAGGGGCCCCUCUCGGGUUACCGAAUUCAGACAAACUCCGAAUGCCAAUUAAUUUAACUUGGGAGUCAGAACAUGGGUGAUAAGGUCCGUGUUCGAAAGGGAAACAGCCCAGACCACCAGCUAAGGUCCCAAAAUAUAUGUUAAGUGGAAAAGGAUGUGGCGUUGCCCAGACAACUAGGAUGUUGGCUUAGAAGCAGCCAUCAUUUAAAGAGUGCGUAAUAGCUCACUAGUCGAGUGACACUGCGCCGAAAAUGUACCGGGGCUAAACAUAUUACCGAAGCUGUGGAUUGUCCUUUGGACAAUGGUAGGAGAGCGUUCUAAGGGCGUUGAAGCAUGAUCGUAAGGACAUGUGGAGCGCUUAGAAGUGAGAAUGCCGGUGUGAGUAGCGAAAGACGGGUGAGAAUCCCGUCCACCGAUUGACUAAGGUUUCCAGAGGAAGGCUCGUCCGCUCUGGGUUAGUCGGGUCCUAAGCUGAGGCCGACAGGCGUAGGCGAUGGAUAACAGGUUGAUAUUCCUGUACCACCUAUAAUCGUUUUAAUCGAUGGGGGGACGCAGUAGGAUAGGCGAAGCGUGCGAUUGGAUUGCACGUCUAAGCAGUAAGGCUGAGUAUUAGGCAAAUCCGGUACUCGUUAAGGCUGAGCUGUGAUGGGGAGAAGACAUUGAGUCUUCGAGUCGUUGAUUUCACACUGCCGAGAAAAGCCUCUAGAUAGAAAAUAGGUGCCCGUACCGCAAACCGACACAGGUAGUCAAGAUGAGAAUUCUAAGGUGAGCGAGCGAACUCUCGUUAAGGAACUCGGCAAAAUGACCCCGUAACUUCGGGAGAAGGGGUGCUCUUUAGGGUUAACGCCCAGAAGAGCCGCAGUGAAUAGGCCCAAGCGACUGUUUAUCAAAAACACAGGUCUCUGCUAAACCGUAAGGUGAUGUAUAGGGGCUGACGCCUGCCCGGUGCUGGAAGGUUAAGAGGAGUGGUUAGCUUCUGCGAAGCUACGAAUCGAAGCCCCAGUAAACGGCGGCCGUAACUAUAACGGUCCUAAGGUAGCGAAAUUCCUUGUCGGGUAAGUUCCGACCCGCACGAAAGGCGUAACGAUUUGGGCACUGUCUCAACGAGAGACUCGGUGAAAUCAUAGUACCUGUGAAGAUGCAGGUUACCCGCGACAGGACGGAAAGACCCCGUGGAGCUUUACUGUAGCCUGAUAUUGAAAUUCGGCACAGCUUGUACAGGAUAGGUAGGAGCCUUUGAAACGUGAGCGCUAGCUUACGUGGAGGCGCUGGUGGGAUACUACCCUAGCUGUGUUGGCUUUCUAACCCGCACCACUUAUCGUGGUGGGAGACAGUGUCAGGCGGGCAGUUUGACUGGGGCGGUCGCCUCCUAAAAGGUAACGGAGGCGCUCAAAGGUUCCCUCAGAAUGGUUGGAAAUCAUUCAUAGAGUGUAAAGGCAUAAGGGAGCUUGACUGCGAGACCUACAAGUCGAGCAGGGUCGAAAGACGGACUUAGUGAUCCGGUGGUUCCGCAUGGAAGGGCCAUCGCUCAACGGAUAAAAGCUACCCCGGGGAUAACAGGCUUAUCUCCCCCAAGAGUUCACAUCGACGGGGAGGUUUGGCACCUCGAUGUCGGCUCAUCGCAUCCUGGGGCUGUAGUCGGUCCCAAGGGUUGGGCUGUUCGCCCAUUAAAGCGGUACGCGAGCUGGGUUCAGAACGUCGUGAGACAGUUCGGUCCCUAUCCGUCGUGGGCGUAGGAAAUUUGAGAGGAGCUGUCCUUAGUACGAGAGGACCGGGAUGGACAUACCUCUGGUGUACCAGUUGUCGUGCCAACGGCAUAGCUGGGUAGCUAUGUGUGGACGGGAUAAGUGCUGAAAGCAUCUAAGCAUGAAGCCCCCCUCAAGAUGAGAUUUCCCAACUUCGGUUAUAAGAUCCCUCAAAGAUGAUGAGGUUAAUAGGUUCGAGGUGGAAGCAUGGUGACAUGUGGAGCUGACGAAUACUAA
This 2739-nucleotide ribosomal RNA is filed under the name Staphylococcus aureus. RNAcentral describes it as "partial 23S ribosomal RNA". It matches the Rfam family "Bacterial large subunit ribosomal RNA". Lineage: Bacteria; Bacillati; Bacillota; Bacilli; Caryophanales; Staphylococcaceae. The record is from RNAcentral.